Non-coding RNA from Sus scrofa (pig), 1274 nucleotides. NCBI's taxonomy places the organism in Eukaryota, Metazoa, Chordata, Mammalia, Artiodactyla, Suidae. The record is from RefSeq and is a predicted model, not a curated record.
UACCUGCGGGGAGAGGCAGAGGCGUGGGCCUGUGGCCGGGGCAUGGGGCCGACCCGAGGCAACGCCGCGGUCUCGCCCCGCAGCCCUCCUGCGAGAGCCGGGCGGGCCUUCCUCAGGGACCGUGAGCCAUUUCCUUAAUCUCUCGAGCCUCAGUUUCCUCCUCUGUUCAUCAGGGAUAACCCAGUGCUCGUUCCGUGUUGCUGUCGGGAUGACUCCCUAUCGGCUGGAGGCCCGCUCACAGGCAGUGGUACCCUUGAGUGGUUACUGGGAGUCAGGCUCAGGCCGGGACCCUUCCCGUGUCCCAUCUCAGCGAGUACAGGAAGUCUGGAAGAGGCUAAUGUUAGUCCCCUCCUACGCGCGCGCGAGGGAGCCCAGGCUCCGAUCAUUUAAGUGACUCAAGGUUCGCAGGGCCGGGAAGCGGUAGAGCUGGGAAGGACCCAGGCUGGGCGGGACCCAGGACUCACGCUGCCCAAUUCCUCAUUCCAGUCCCUGCCUUCAGCCACCACCGCGCCUCGGACUCACCUCCCCUCAAGGACCGUUCAGCCCCUGGCUGGCGGCUGCAGUGGGAAGACGUUCCUUUUAAAGUGGAAGCUAAAAGCUGCCUCGGCGACGUGACUGCUCCCAUCUCACUCAGAUAAGCACGGAAAUGGCAAACCUCUUUCUGUGCCACAUCACUCUGCGACCCGCGACAGCUCCCUGUCAUCUGCGGGAUCCACUCACGCUCCCUGAGCUUGUGUUCAAGGUCCUAAUGUGCCAUCCAGGUUCCAGCUGCUGUUCCAGCUGCUGUUUUAGACUCAGGUGCCUUUCUGCCUUGACCCCAGCCCUUUGCUCCAACUAGCCCGGGCUGCUCAAGUGCCACGAAGGCCGCUGACGCUCCCUUGCGUUUGUCUUUACCUUGCACUGUUCUGCGGGAACUGCCCAGGCCCCUUUCUGCCCCUGGCCCCAAGGUUCUGACCCAGCCUUUCCUCUGCCCAGAGGUGGCCCCGUUCCACCUUCUCUCGGUUCUUGCCUGACUGCUCCUAGUAGGACUGGACAGUGCCCUGUGAGGUCUCUCCUUCCCCCCGGAAAGGCGCCGCCCUCUGUGCGCUUCCCUGCCCCCAGCACCGCCCCGGCGCCUGCCUCCUUGACAGGACAAUACCUGCGCACAGCAGCCUCUGAGUAGGCCACCACGCAGACGAUGCCCACGACCAGCAGAGCCACGCAGAUGCCGGUGAUGGUCAGGACCCUCUUCUGGUACAGCUCCUCGGCCUCUGCAGAGGAGAGGGUGUGAUGGG